GCCUGGGUGGCUCAGUCGGUAAAGCGUCUGACUUCAGCUCAGGUCGUGAUCUCGCGGUCCGUGAGUUCAAGCCCCGCAUCGGGCC
RNAcentral lists this transfer RNA (85 nucleotides) under Felis catus (domestic cat). It matches the Rfam family "tRNA". Rfam says of the family: Transfer RNA (tRNA) molecules are approximately 80 nucleotides in length. Their secondary structure includes four short double-helical elements and three loops (D, anti-codon, and T loops). Further hydrogen bonds mediate the characteristic L-shaped molecular structure. tRNAs have two regions of fundamental functional importance: the anti-codon, which is responsible for specific mRNA codon recognition, and the 3' end, to which the tRNAs corresponding amino acid is attached (by aminoacyl-tRNA synthetases). tRNAs cope with the degeneracy of the genetic code in two manners: having more than one tRNA (with a specific anti-codon) for a particular amino acid; and 'wobble' base-pairing, i.e. permitting non-standard base-pairing at the 3rd anti-codon position. Lineage: Eukaryota; Metazoa; Chordata; Mammalia; Carnivora; Felidae. The record is from Rfam by way of RNAcentral.